AUGCUCUCGUUGUCUCUUUGCUCCCAUCUCUGGGGGCCUCUGAUUCUUUCUGCUCUACAGGCACGCAGCACUGACAGCCUGGAUGGCCCAGGGGAGGGCUCGGUGCAGCCUCUACCCACCGCUGGGGGGCCCAGUGUGAAGGGGAAGCCUGGGAAGAGGUGAGGGUGAGGGAGGAAAGGGCUCAGCUAGGAGCUGGGGAGACUCAAGGAGCUGCUGGUGAUGCAUCCCUGUCUCCCAGGCUCUCAGCUCCUCGAGGCCCCUUCCCGCGGCUGGCUGACUGCGCCCAUUUCCACUACGAGAACGUCGACUUUGGCCACAUUCAGCUCCUGCUGUCUCCAGACCGUGAAGGGCCCAGCCUCUCUGGAGAGAAUGAGCUGGUGUUCGGGGUGCAGGUGACCUGUCAGGGCCGUUCCUGGCCGGUUCUCCGGAGUUACGAUGACUUUCGUUCCCUGGAUGCCCACCUCCACCGGUGCAUAUUUGACCGGAGGUUCUCCUGCCUUCCGGAGCUUCCCCCGCCCCCUGAGGGUGCCAGGGCUGCUCAGAUGCUGGUGCCACUGCUGCUGCAGUACCUGGAGACCCUGUCAGGACUGGUGGACAGUAACCUCAACUGCGGGCCUGUGCUCACCUGGAUGGAGGUGGGCCUGGGCAGGGGGCUUGGAGUUCAGAGUGGGUGAGGGGGUGCGUGUGCCACCACGCCCAGCACAGAGAGUUUUUAGAUGGCAACCAUGUGGUAUCUGCUGUGGAGGAUGAAGGUGCAGAGGUGGAUGGGGAAGCCUUCAGGUGGGGAAGCCUUUGGGUGGGAGAGUCCUGGGACAUGUGA
Molecule: small RNA, 820 nt
Filed under: Pongo abelii (Sumatran orangutan)
Lineage: Eukaryota; Metazoa; Chordata; Mammalia; Primates; Hominidae
Description: processed transcript
Source: RNAcentral